GACGAACGCUGGCGGCGUGCUUAACACAUGCAAGUCGAACGGAAAGGCCCCUCUCGGGGGGUACUCGAGAGGCGAACGCGUGAGUAACACGUGAGUAACAUGCCCUCGACUCUGGGAUAUAUCCCGCAGACUCGGGCUAUUACACGAUAUGAGCUCUUGUUGUCGGGUGGGGGUUGGAAAGUUUCGGCGGUUGGGGAUGGACUCGCGGCUUAUCCGCUUGUUGGUGUGGUAGUGGCUUACCAAGGCUUUGACGGGUAGCCGGCCUGGGAGGGUGAGCGGCCACAUUGGGGCUGAGAUACGGCCCAGACGCCGACGGGGGGCAGCAGGGGGGAAGAUUGCACAAUGGGUGGAAGGCUGAUGCAGGAACGCUGUGGGCGGGAUGACUGUCUUCGGGUUGGAAACCGCUUUCGCUCGUGACGAAGCUUUGUGUGACGGUAGUGGGUAAAGAAGCACCGGCUAACUACGUG
Molecule: ribosomal RNA, 467 nt
Filed under: uncultured bacterium
Lineage: Bacteria
Description: partial 16S ribosomal RNA
Rfam family: Bacterial small subunit ribosomal RNA
Source: RNAcentral